GAUGAACGCUGGCGGCGUGCCUAAUACAUGCAAGUCGAGCGAACAGAUGAGGAGCUUGCUCCUCUGACGUUAGCGGCGGACGGGUGAGUAACACGUGGAUAACCUACCUAUAAGACUGGGAUAACUUCGGGAAGCCGGAGCUAAUACCGGAUAAUAUAUUGAACCGCAUGGUUCAAUAGUGAAAGACGGUUUUGCUGUCACUUAUAGAUGGAUCCGCGCCGCAUUAGCUAGUUGGUAAGGUAACGGCUUACCAAGGCAACGAUGCGUAGCCGACCUGAGAGGGUGAUCGGCCACACGGGAACUGAGACACGGUCCAGACUCCUACGGGAGGCAGCAGUAGGGAAUCUGCCGCAAUGGGCGAAAGCCUGACGGAGCAACGCCGCGUGAGUGAUGAAGGUCUUCGGAUCGUAAAACUCUGUUAUUAGGGAAGAACAAAUGUGUAAGUAACUAUGCACGUCUUGACGGUACCUAAUCAGAAAGCCACGGCUAACUACGU
This 496-nucleotide ribosomal RNA is filed under the name uncultured bacterium. Its description in RNAcentral is "partial 16S ribosomal RNA". It matches the Rfam family "Bacterial small subunit ribosomal RNA", at positions 28 to 506 of the family's 1533-position model. The record is from RNAcentral.